AUGGAGGAGCCGUCCAUGGCCGACCCGCCGCGGAUCUUCUGGAAGUCCAGGAGGAGGCCGUCGUCAGCCAAUGGCCGGAGCUUGCAAGCACAAGAACAUAAUAACGAGGCCGCUGCCACCGAAGAGGCAGCAGCGGACACUCUUCCGGCUCAAGGAGAAGCCAUGAAGAUUGAUGACGCAAAUGCAGCAAGCACUACCACAGAGGAUGAUGCUCAUCAGGCAGAUCCGAUGGCUAACCUAUCUGAGAAGCGAAAGGCGCUCUUUGAGCCCCUGGAGCCAAUCAAUGGCAAGCGCAGCGCUGACAUGCUGCUUCCGCCACCGGACUUCGAGCCUACAUCAUAUCCCAAGGGAUGGCUGGUUGGUAAGAAGCGCAAGCUCGUCAAUGUCGAUGUCGUGGAGAGCAUGAGGAGGAUAGCGAUCCUGGAAAUGAACAGAAAGGACCGUGAAAUCGGCGGGCUGAAUGAACAACUAGAGGAGGACUCCCGCGUGCUGGAGCUUCUGCAGAAGCAGCUCACGGACGAGCGCAGGAAGCGGUCGGAGAUCGAGAAGGAGAACUCCAUGCUUCAAGAGCAGGUGACCAUGCUGAUGAACAUGCUUGAUGAAAACGAAGCCUUCGACGAGGAAGGAGAAGAGGCGCCACCACCCGACUCAAUCGAUUAA
This 660-nucleotide ribosomal RNA is filed under the name Triticum aestivum (bread wheat). RNAcentral's name for it is "partial small subunit ribosomal RNA". Lineage: Eukaryota; Viridiplantae; Streptophyta; Magnoliopsida; Poales; Poaceae. The record is from RNAcentral.